This 118-nucleotide self-splicing intron is filed under the name Candidatus Woesebacteria bacterium GW2011_GWB1_38_5. The stretch from base 38 to 118 matches the Rfam family "Archaeal large subunit ribosomal RNA", at positions 159 to 239 of the family's 2987-position model. The record is from RNAcentral. Lineage: Bacteria; Candidatus Woeseibacteriota.
GUUCCUGCAUAUCAUGCAGGGUAUAUAGCUUCUCAAGAGGGUACCGUCCGAACUGAAACAUCUAAGUAGGGCGAGGAGUAUAAAUCAAAUGAGAUUUCGCAAGUAGCGGAGAGCGAAA